RNAcentral lists this long non-coding RNA (746 nucleotides) under Brachypodium distachyon (stiff brome). RNAcentral describes it as "long non-coding RNA (BDIS_LNC006027)". Lineage: Eukaryota; Viridiplantae; Streptophyta; Magnoliopsida; Poales; Poaceae. The record is from RNAcentral.
GGUGGAAGACGGGAUAUGUAUAUCCUCCGGGGAUUUGACCUCCGGGAGAGAAGGCGGCGUGGGCCACGGGGGGGUCUCUACGGGAACUCGUGGGAUGUCAGCCACUUGUGCGUGGGCCCCGCGCGGCUCCUCGUGACGGAACGGGUUUCGGGGCCGUUUCGGUGGUUUUUUGUUUCUUGUUUCUUUCCUUUUUAACUGCGGUGCGCCCCGUGUUGUUGUUGUUGGAUAAUACUAUGGCUCAUGGGCGCGGCGGAGAUUCCUUUUCACAGAGCCGCUGGGAUGGAUCGUGUCGUACGUACGGCGCGCGGCCCUGGCUCUUGUUCUCAACUAAACGUUCCGGGAUUUUUCUUUAAUUUCUUUUGAGGAUUAAUUAGUGCCCGGUGCCAUUUGUUUUGUUUCCUGGCACUGUGAACAUUUUGGUCGUAGUGCUGCAACGUUGGUGCGAUUCGGGUUACAAGGGCCGGCUAAAGAACACAUGCCAGCACCUAAUUGCCUGUUCGAUUGGCUCUUUCUUUCUCUCUUUUUAUUUCUCUUCCCCUGACCCAAAAAAAAAUGGCUCUUCCUUUUUCAUACCUUGAAAAUGUUUCCAUUUGAAAUAUGGAAAUAGAAAUGAGGAACCGUCCAUUUAACCUUUUCAUGUUGAGUUGGCACAUUUUUGGCCUAUUUGUAGUUCGUCAAUCAUUAUGUUCCGCGUUCGCUCAUUAAUUCAGUCAAGAUCUUCUCCGUGUUGAUUUAUUUGGUGCCAG